GAUGAACGCUGGCGGCGUGCCUAAUACAUGCCAGUCGAGCGAACGGACGAGAAGCUUGCUUCUCUGAUGUUAGCGGCGGACGGGUGAGUAACACGUGGAUAACCUACCUGUAAGACUGGGAUAACUUCGGGAAACCGGAGCUAAUACCGGAUAAUAUUUUGAACCGCAUGGUUCAAAAGUGAAAGACGGUCUUGCUGUCACUUAUAGAUGGAUCCGCGCUGCAUUAGCUAGUUGGUAAGGUAACGGCUUACCAAGGCAACGAUGCAUAGCCGACCUGAGAGGGUGAUCGGCCACACUGGAACUGAGACACGGUCCAGACUCCUACGGGAGGCAGCAGUAGGGAAUCUUCCGCAAUGGGCGAAAGCCUGACGGAGCAACGCCGCGUGAGUGAUGAAGGUCUUCGGAUCGUAAAACUCUGUUAUUAGGGAAGAACAUAUGUGUAAGUAACUGUGCACAUCUUGACGGUACCUAAUCAGAAAGCCACGGCUAACUACGUG
Molecule: ribosomal RNA, 497 nt
Filed under: uncultured bacterium
Lineage: Bacteria
Description: partial 16S ribosomal RNA
Rfam family: Bacterial small subunit ribosomal RNA
Source: RNAcentral